Molecule: long non-coding RNA, 550 nt
Organism: Homo sapiens (human)
Lineage: Eukaryota; Metazoa; Chordata; Mammalia; Primates; Hominidae
Exons: 4
Source: RefSeq, a predicted model, not a curated record
GGAGUCUUCAAAGUAUUCAGUUGAUUGUUUUUUGUUUUUGUUAUAUAAUUAGGAAAAAACAAAAUGAGAAUGAUGUGAAUUUGGAGGAGCUAGCCACUGACAGGAAGGAGGAAGGCGCUCCAUACAGCAAAUGAAAUUCAGAACUCUGGCCAGCCCAUCGAGAAGAGGGUAACAGGCCUGCUGGGACAAGUUGAGAGAAGACGAAUGAAGUGAGGACGCUGCACACCAUAAUCUGAAAUAGUCCUAGCGGUGGAAAAGAAGCAGCCUGCAGACGAGGCGGGCAGUGGGAAGUUAUGCUCUGGAUCAUCAGAAAAAUACAAAGGCAUAGCCACAAUUCAUACUAGUGGAGAGACCUCAACAGAGAUGGACCCACCCAAGCCUAGCUUGGAACUUGGACUCGGAUGGAACUUGGACUGCACAGACUGUGUGGCCCCACCCACUGGGGUUGAGGCUUCAAUAUAUGAAUUUCAGGGGGACACAUUUCAACCCAUAACUGCUUAAGAUGAGGCUCACAGGCUGGACUGAGGACUCCUCUCAGGGUGCAGCACAU